The sequence is an unclassified non-coding RNA, 300 nucleotides long. The stretch from base 1 to 46 matches the Rfam family "Eukaryotic small subunit ribosomal RNA", at positions 1786 to 1831 of the family's 1831-position model.
AAGUCGUAACAAGGUCUUCGUAGGUGAACCUGCGAAGGGAUCAUUAACACGUUCCAAACCAAUUAUCAACCCAUCUGCGAACUUCUGUUACCGCCGAUAUGGCUGGCCACAAGUGUAUGGCGCGUACGAUCGACUCCACGAUGAGGUGUACACUCUACACCUGGUCUAGUACGCCUCGUGUCCGUCUCCACUCUCGGGUGGAGCAGGACAGCUAUCCUCGUAGCUUAGUCCGGCCCCCAUAUAUGCGCUUCGGCAGUCGUCAUCUGCUGCCGAUUCGCAUAUCACACACGCCCUGCGACU